This 206-nucleotide long non-coding RNA is filed under the name Olea europaea (common olive). RNAcentral describes it as "long non-coding RNA (OEUR_LNC006985)". The record is from RNAcentral. Lineage: Eukaryota; Viridiplantae; Streptophyta; Magnoliopsida; Lamiales; Oleaceae.
UCAAAUUCCUAAAUUGAUUGCAUAACAUGAAUCUGUGGUUGCUAAAGCGCUUACAAGAUGAUAGCAGGAUAUUCCAAUUAAGGUGCAUUUGGCGAAUUUGUUGUGUACAGUUCAUUUAUAAAUUCAGUCACAUACACGAUCAAACACAUGCUCAACUUCAACACUAAGUUCACAAUCCGUUACUGGGGGAUCCUUCCUCUUCAACU